GACGUACGCUGGCGGCGUGCUUAACACAUGCAAGUCGAACGGAAAGGCCCUGCUUUUGUGGGGUGCUCGAGUGGCGAACGGGUGAGUAACACGUGAGUAACCUGCCCCUGACUUUGGGAUAACUUCAGGAAACUGGGGCUAAUACCGGAUAGGAGCUCCUGCUGCAUGGUGGGGGUUGGAAAGUUUCGGCGGUUGGGGAUGGACUCGCGGCUUAUCAGCUCGUUGGUGGGGUAGGGGCUUACCAAGGCUUUGACGGGUAGCCGGCCUGAGAGGGUGACCGGCCACAUGGGGACUGAGAUACGGCCCAGACUCCUACGGGAGGCAGCAGUGGAGAAUAUUGCACAAUGGGCGGAAGCCUGAUGCAGCAACGCCGCGUGCGGGAUGACGGCCUUCGGGUUGUAAACCGCUUUCGCCUGUGACGAAGCGUGAGUGACGGUAAUGGGUAAAGAAGCACCGGCUAACUACGUG
Molecule: ribosomal RNA, 468 nt
Filed under: uncultured bacterium
Lineage: Bacteria
Description: partial 16S ribosomal RNA
Rfam family: Bacterial small subunit ribosomal RNA
Source: RNAcentral